CUUCCUUUUUGCAGGACAGAAUUACUCAACCCGUGUAGACAGGAGCUUUAAUAGAUGAGCCAAAAAGAAGUUCGUUUUUAGCAAUUGACUUUUAUCCUAUUAUAGCUCAGUUAGAUGUGAAAAUAAAUGUCAAUAUAGAUGUGGAUGCCAAAAACUAAAUUGACAAUUUUAUUUUGACAGGAGGUCGAAAACUUAGGCAAGAUAAAAUUGAAAUAGACCAACAACUAAGGAGUUUGCCCGUUGGAGCAAUGGGAGCUAUGCAGAGCUUUAAUUCUCAAAGACGCAAUGAUAGAGGUUAUAGUUCUGAUAUGGAAACAAGUGGACGAGGCGGUAGAAGCGGAGCAAGAGGUCGGGGUCGAGGUAACAGAGGUGGAGGGCGGCAUUUAAACGAUCAACGUUUCAAUUCUGGUUCCAGACAUCAAACGCCAGACAACAUAGACGAAAGAUUACCACCUCGACAAAGUUACCAAGCCAUGGGAUCGAGAGGUUCUCACAAUAAUAGCUACUCAUCAAGGCCAAGGGGCGCUGGUGGCCGGAAAGACCACCGACAGAACGAAGAUAGAUGGAGAGUUAAUGAUGACGAUGAACACUCUCAAUUAGAUUCUCAUUCACACGAAAACGCAGACAGAGAAUCAGUAUCGAGUGUGGAAGGAGCACGAACAAAUAACCGCAGGCCACGAAAUGCCAGGCGCAAAACGCGACCCCGAAGCCACACACCGACCACUGAGAAAGAAACAAUGAGUGGUCAAGCUCAUGAAGUAGUAAAUAACAAGACUCAGGAAAGAAUUCUCAAGAGAGCUCUAGAAAUCAACGAGAUUCACGGUCCAAAGGACAGAAGCCACCCAGUCGAAGCGAGCCUCCGCAUCAGUUUCAAUGACAAACCAAAAGAACAACCACUUGUCAAUGGCACCUCCGAAUAG
Molecule: long non-coding RNA, 920 nt
Filed under: Bemisia tabaci
Lineage: Eukaryota; Metazoa; Arthropoda; Insecta; Hemiptera; Aleyrodidae
Description: lncRNA ENSSSA3NGG002578
Source: RNAcentral